RNAcentral lists this ribosomal RNA (425 nucleotides) under uncultured bacterium. Its description in RNAcentral is "partial 16S ribosomal RNA". It matches the Rfam family "Bacterial small subunit ribosomal RNA", at positions 354 to 796 of the family's 1533-position model. The record is from RNAcentral.
GUGGGGAAUAUUGGACAAUGGGCGCAAGCCUGAUCCAGCCAUGCCGCGUGAGUGAUGAAGGCCCUAGGGUUGUAAAGCUCUUUCACCGGUGAAGAUAAUGACGGUAACCGGAGAAGAAGCCCCGGCUAACUUCGUGCCAGCAGCCGCGGUAAUACGAAGGGGGCUAGCGUUGUUCGGAAUUACUGGGCGUAAAGCGCACGUAGGCGGACAUUUAAGUCAGGGGUGAAAUCCCGGGGCUCAACCCCGGAACUGCCUUUGAUACUGGGUGUCUGGAGUAUGGAAGAGGUAAGUGGAAUUCCGAGUGUAGAGGUGAAAUUCGUAGAUAUUCGGAGGAACACCAGUGGCGAAGGCGACUUACUGGUCCAUUACUGACGCUGAGGUGCGAAAGCGUGGGGAGCAAACAGGAUUAGAAACCCCUGUAGUCC